Molecule: ribosomal RNA, 2887 nt
Filed under: Shigella dysenteriae
Lineage: Bacteria; Pseudomonadati; Pseudomonadota; Gammaproteobacteria; Enterobacterales; Enterobacteriaceae
Description: bacterial LSU rRNA
Rfam family: Bacterial large subunit ribosomal RNA
Source: RNAcentral
ACUAAGCGUACACGGUGGAUGCCCUGGCAGUCAGAGGCGAUGAAGGACGUGCUAAUCUGCGAUAAGCGUCGGUAAGGUGAUAUGAACCGUUAUAACCGGCGAUUUCCGAAUGGGGAAACCCAGUGUGAUUCGUCACACUAUCAUUAACUGAAUCCAUAGGUUAAUGAGGCGAACCGGGGGAACUGAAACAUCUAAGUACCCCGAGGAAAAGAAAUCAACCGAGAUUCCCCAGUAGCGGCGAGCGAACGGGGAGCAGCCCAGAGCCUGAAUCAGUGUGUGUGUUAGUGGAAGCGUCUGGAAAGGCGUGCGAUACAGGGUGACAGCCCCGUACACAAAAAUGCACAUAUUGUGAGCUCGAUGAGUAGGGCGGGACACGUGGUAUCCUGUCUGAAUAUGGGGGGACCAUCCUCCAAGGCUAAAUACUCCUGACUGACCGAUAGUGAACCAGUACCGUGAGGGAAAGGCGAAAAGAACCCCGGCGAGGGGAGUGAAAAAGAACCUGAAACCGUGUACGUACAAGCAGUGGGAGCACGCUUAGGCGUGUGACUGCGUACCUUUUGUAUAAUGGGUCAGCGACUUAUAUUCUGUAGCAAGGUUAACCGAAUAGGGGAGCCGAAGGGAAACCGAGUCUUAACUGGGCGUUAAGUUGCAGGGUAUAGACCCGAAACCCGGUGAUCUAGCCAUGGGCAGGUUGAAGGUUGGGUAACACUAACUGGAGGACCGAACCGACUAAUGUUGAAAAAUUAGCGGAUGACUUGUGGCUGGGGGUGAAAGGCCAAUCAAACCGGGAGAUAGCUGGUUCUCCCGAAAGCUAUUUAGGUAGCGCCUCGUGAAUUCAUCUCCGGGGGUAGAGCACUGUUUCGGCAAGGGGGUCAUCCCGACUUACCAACCCGAUGCAAACUGCGAAUACCGGAGAAUGUUAUCACGGGAGACACACGGCGGGUGCUAACGUCCGUCGUGAAGAGGGAAACAACCCAGACCGCCAGCUAAGGUCCCAAAGUCAUGGUUAAGUGGGAAACGAUGUGGGAAGGCCCAGACAGCCAGGAUGUUGGCUUAGAAGCAGCCAUCAUUUAAAGAAAGCGUAAUAGCUCACUGGUCGAGUCGGCCUGCGCGGAAGAUGUAACGGGGCUAAACCAUGCACCGAAGCUGCGGCAGCGACACUAUGUGUUGUUGGGUAGGGGAGCGUUCUGUAAGCCUGUGAAGGUGUACUGUGAGGUAUGCUGGAGGUAUCAGAAGUGCGAAUGCUGACAUAAGUAACGAUAAAGCGGGUGAAAAGCCCGCUCGCCGGAAGACCAAGGGUUCCUGUCCAACGUUAAUCGGGGCAGGGUGAGUCGACCCUAAGGCGAGGCCGAAAGGCGUAGUCGAUGGGAAACAGGUUAAUAUUCCUGUACUUGGUGUUACUGCGAAGGGGGACGGAGAAGGCUAUGUUGGCCGGGCGACGGUUGUCCCGGUUUAAGCGUGUAGGCUGGUUUUCCAGGCAAAUCCGGAAAACUAAGGCUGAGGCGUGAUGACGAGGCACUACGGUGCUGAAGCAACAAAUGCCCUGCUUCCAGGAAAAGCCUCUAAGCAUCAGGUAACAUCAAAUCGUACCCCAAACCGACACAGGUGGUCAGGUAGAGAAUACCAAGGCGCUUGAGAGAACUCGGGUGAAGGAACUAGGCAAAAUGGUGCCGUAACUUCGGGAGAAGGCACGCUGAUAUGUAGGUGAAGUCCCUCGCGGAUGGAGCUGAAAUCAGUCGAAGAUACCAGCUGGCUGCAACUGUUUAUUAAAAACACAGCACUGUGCAAACACGAAAGUGGACGUAUACGGUGUGACGCCUGCCCGGUGCCGGAAGGUUAAUUGAUGGGGUCAGCGCAAGCGAAGCUCUUGAUCGAAGCCCCGGUAAACGGCGGCCGUAACUAUAACGGUCCUAAGGUAGCGAAAUUCCUUGUCGGGUAAGUUCCGACCUGCACGAAUGGCGUAAUGAUGGCCAGGCUGUCUCCACCCGAGACUCAGUGAAAUUGAACUCGCUGUGAAGAUGCAGUGUACCCGCGGCAAGACGGAAAGACCCCGUGAACCUUUACUAUAGCUUGACACUGAACAUUGAGCCUUGAUGUGUAGGAUAGGUGGGAGGCUUUGAAGUGUGGACGCCAGUCUGCAUGGAGCCGACCUUGAAAUACCACCCUUUAAUGUUUGAUGUUCUAACGUUGACCCGUAAUCCGGGUUGCGGACAGUGUCUGGUGGGUAGUUUGACUGGGGCGGUCUCCUCCUAAAGAGUAACGGAGGAGCACGAAGGUUGGCUAAUCCUGGUCGGACAUCAGGAGGUUAGUGCAAUGGCAUAAGCCAGCUUGACUGCGAGCGUGACGGCGCGAGCAGGUGCGAAAGCAGGUCAUAGUGAUCCGGUGGUUCUGAAUGGAAGGGCCAUCGCUCAACGGAUAAAAGGUACUCCGGGGAUAACAGGCUGAUACCGCCCAAGAGUUCAUAUCGACGGCGGUGUUUGGCACCUCGAUGUCGGCUCAUCACAUCCUGGGGCUGAAGUAGGUCCCAAGGGUAUGGCUGUUCGCCAUUUAAAGUGGUACGCGAGCUGGGUUUAGAACGUCGUGAGACAGUUCGGUCCCUAUCUGCCGUGGGCGCUGGAGAACUGAGGGGGCUGCUCCUAGUACGAGAGGACCGGAGUGGACGCAUCACUGGUGUUCGGGUUGUCAUGCCAAUGGCACUGCCCGGUAGCUAAAUGCGGAAGAGAUAAGUGCUGAAAGCAUCUAAGCACGAAACUUGCCCCGAGAUGAGUUCUCCCUGACUCCUUGAGAGUCCUGAAGGAACGUUGAAGACGACGACGUUGAUAGGCCGGGUGUGUAAGCGCAGCGAUGCGUUGAGCUAACCGGUACUAAUGAACCGUGAGGCUUAACC